This 460-nucleotide ribosomal RNA is filed under the name uncultured bacterium. Its description in RNAcentral is "partial 16S ribosomal RNA". It matches the Rfam family "Bacterial small subunit ribosomal RNA", at positions 338 to 795 of the family's 1533-position model. The record is from RNAcentral.
CCUACGGGUGGCAGCAGUGAGGAAUAUUGGUCAAUGGGCGCGAGCCUGAACCAGCCAAGUCGCGUGAGGGAAGACGGUCCUAUGGAUUGUAAACCUCUUUUGUCGGGGAGCAAAAGACGCCACGCGUGGCGUUCCGAGAGUACCCGAAGAAAAAGCAUCGGCUAACUCCGUGCCAGCAGCCGCGGUAAUACGGAGGAUGCGAGCGUUAUCCGGAUUUAUUGGGUUUAAAGAGGUUGUAGGCGGCAUGGAAAGUCAGGUGGUAAAGGGGCAGGCUCAACCUUUGUAUGGCACUUGAUACUUGCAAGCUGGAGUGCGGUAGAGGUAAAGGGAAUUCCUGGUGUAGCGGUGAAAUGCUUAGAUAUCAGGAGGAACAUCGGUGGCGUAAGCGCUUUACUGGGCCGUAAUUGACGCUGAGGAACGAAAGCCAGGGUAGCAAAUAGGAUUAGAUACCCUUGUAGUC